UACGAAGGGUGCUAGCGUUGUUCGGAUUUACUGGGCGUAAAGCGUAUGUAGGCGGUCUGUUUGGUCAGAUGUGAAAUCCCAGGGCUCAACCCUGGAACUGCAUUUGAUACCGGCAGGCUAGAGUAUGAUAGAGGACAAUGGAAUUCUAAGUGUAGAGGUGAAAUUCGUAGAUAUUUAGAGGAACACCAGUGGCGAAAGCGAUUGUCUGGAUCAUUACUGACGCUGAGAUACGAAAGCGUGGGGAGCAAACAGG
RNAcentral lists this ribosomal RNA (253 nucleotides) under uncultured bacterium. RNAcentral describes it as "partial 16S ribosomal RNA". It matches the Rfam family "Bacterial small subunit ribosomal RNA", at positions 524 to 776 of the family's 1533-position model. The record is from RNAcentral.